GCCGAGGGUGAGGGAGGAAAUUGAGGGAGGUUAUCACUGACCCGAUUGAGUGAGGGAUUUUGUGAGGAUUCCACUGACAUGAUUGACUGAGGAUGGUCUGACAUUCGGUAAGGCAAAAAUAGAAAGAGAGAGGCGGGUUGCAGAGGCAGAGAGAAAGAGGGAGGGGUGGGGGCACUGAACAGUAGCAAGUAAGGCUCUUCUAACAGGAGCAACCAAGGUGUUUUGAUGCUUUAUUUUGGCGGUGAAAGGAAGGGUCACAUGUAGAGAGAGAGGUUUCCUUUCGCGCACAUUGUUGUUUCCAUCCGUUUCAAUCGCUUCGACAGCAAGCCGCCGCCACCACCACCUAGAACAAAAAAUAAACACCCGCCACUGCUCUUCAGCCAUCGUCUCCGGCGAUCCAUUCAAAUCUCCGAUCGAAAUAGAGAGAAACUUAGGGAAAGACGAGCGACGUAUUCAAAGGGUACGAGCGCCACUAAAUUGAGCUCUCUGCCAACCUCAUCAAAAAGUGUGGUUUUGACAUGGAGGAGAAACUGCAAGAGGUUAUGAUCUUGCUGCACUUAAGUACAACUGUUCUUCAACUCAUAUAAACUUUCCGGAAUAAGGGCUCGCCCUCAGGUGGAUGAUGAAGCUGGUACUGCGUCAAAUCUAUGCCCUCAAUGUGGUACUGAAUAUGGUGGGGUUUGCAAUCAAAGCACUAUCCAUCUGCAAUGUCAAGCAUGCGAAGGAAUGACGCCUCAUGAAGUAAUAACAGUGUACCUCAACACUGUUUAGGAUGUGAUCAGGCAUUUUGUGGUACAUAUUGGCACGCAGGGGUUGCACAAAGUGAUUCUCGCUGUGUGUGCAUUCGCGAGACUUUUAAACCAAUCUCAGAACUGACCAUCUCUAGAAUCCCUACUUCCGCACAUGAAAACAAUCGACAUGAACAAGUUAUCACUGAGAAAUGUAUUGCACUGUUGGGAAGAACAUUGCAGGAUGUUAUUGCAGAAUGGCUUGCAAAGUUGAACAACAGAGAAAUUGAUCGAACGAGGAUGCCCCAGAAUCAUGCUGAGGCAAUAACUUCUGGGACACCUACGUGCAAUUACUGUUAUGAGAAGCUGAUCUCCUUGCUCUUGUACUGGUUUCGGAUUUCGAUUCCCAAAUAUCAUCUACCCACAGAGGCAUCAAACAGGGAAAAUUGCUGGUAUGGAUAUGCAUGUCGGACACAGCACCAUAAUGAAGAACAUGCUCAUAAAAGAAAUCAUGUGUGCCGGCCAACUAGGGGCACUUAUAUGUAGAUCUUCUUUCUCUUGUUUCCUCUGUUUUGAGAAUUAGAAAUUUAUUACAAGCUUAUCUUCUCUGGUACUACUGAGAUUUUCUGGCA
Malus domestica (apple) is the source of this 1360-nucleotide long non-coding RNA. RefSeq lists it as uncharacterized. Lineage: Eukaryota; Viridiplantae; Streptophyta; Magnoliopsida; Rosales; Rosaceae. The record is from RefSeq and is a predicted model, not a curated record.